Molecule: ribosomal RNA, 253 nt
Filed under: uncultured bacterium
Lineage: Bacteria
Description: partial 16S ribosomal RNA
Rfam family: Bacterial small subunit ribosomal RNA
Source: RNAcentral
UACAGAGGUCUCAAGCGUUGUUCGGAUUCAUUGGGCGUAAAGGGUGCGUAGGCGGCGCGGUAAGUCGGGUGUGAAAUCUUGGAGCUUAACUCCGAAACUGCAUUCGAUACUGCCGUGCUUGAGGACUGGAGAGGAGACUGGAAUUUACGGUGUAGCGGUGAAAUGCGUAGAUAUCGUAAGGAAGACCAGUGGCGAAGGCGGGUCACUGGCCCGGUACUGACGCUGAGGUGCGAAAGCGUGGGGAGCAAACAGG